RNAcentral lists this ribosomal RNA (301 nucleotides) under uncultured bacterium. RNAcentral describes it as "partial 16S ribosomal RNA". It matches the Rfam family "Bacterial small subunit ribosomal RNA", at positions 509 to 807 of the family's 1533-position model. The record is from RNAcentral.
CAGUCGCCGCGGGAAAACGGAGGGUGCAAGCGUUAUCCGGAUUCACUGGGUUUAAAGGGUGCGUAGGCGGAUCUGUAAGUCAGUGGUGAAAUCUCCAGGCUUAACCUGGAAACUGCCGUUGAUACUAUAGGUCUUGAAUUUUGUGGAGGUCAGCGGAAUAUGUCAUGUAGCGGUGAAAUGCAUAGAUAUGACAUAGAACACCAAUUGCGAAGGCAGCUGGCUACACAACUAUUGACGCUGAGGCACGAAAGCGUGGGGAUCAAACAGGAUUAGAUACCCGGGUAGUCCCUGUCUCUUAUAC